GAAAGACCCAGAGCUGACACACUCACUAUUCUUCUUCCAUGGAUUGCUAAAAUAGAGAUGACUUACCAAUACAAAUUUGAACCAUGCCAAUAUUAUGAAUUCCCGGGAUGCUUAUGCUUAGCCUUGGGAUGAUGCAUUGCAUGAAUGGAACCAUAAGGAGGCAACAAAGAUUUAGAGCAGCACUUGAAUAGAAGCAAUUUUGUUCGACAUGGAUUCUACUAAACUAGAGAUUUCUGGAUUUUCACAAGACCAAGCAAUAGAGGGACUUGGAAAGUCUUAUUGAGAAGAUAUGUGAGUGAUGUCAGAAAGUUACAUUUAAAUGAUUACAUCCAAAUGUAAUCAAUUUGAUUAAAAAAACUGUGGACGAGUUAAGGAAAGGAGGGAUGAGAAGAUUUCCAGCAGAGUAGCUUCUUACACAUCAGUCUUUUGCUUCUUGGUUUCAACAUCAUCCUAAAAACAGUGGCCAAACAGAGUUAAAACACUACAGUUUGUACGGUCAGACUUACACACGUAUGUAAGGAUUUCACUGCAUAGUAGAAAUUACCUCAUCAUCAUCAUCAUCAUCCUCGGCCGCUCUUUUUCCUGUGCCACCCUCAGCCUCAUCAUCAUCUUCAUCAUCAUCAUCAUCACCUGCCUUGCCUUCUCCAUCAUCUUCCUCAUCCUCUUCAGCCACCUCAUCAUCCUCCUCAUCUACUUCAUUUUCUGGAUCGCCAUUCUCCUCGUUUUCCUAAAAUAUAAAACAUUAUGAGUUAUCAUGGGUAGCACCUGAGUUCAUUUGGAAACUAUUACAAGCAGUACUGGGCAAUGAAAAGAGAAAAGUUGUGGAAACUAACCGCAUUUCCAUUAGCAGGGGCAUCCUUUCCGUUUUCUGCCUCCUCAACCUGCUUCUUUUCUUUAAGGUCCUAAGUGAAGAAAAAUAUGGCUUUGUAAUUGCUUCAGUUACUUAUCUGAUGUAGGAAAUUAAACUAGACCGAUGCUGAAUUCACAUCCUCUCUUAUUUGUGGAACGUGCUUUCAUUUCACAUUUGAAACGCGACACUUCCACACUCUUUAUUCAUUGGAUGUCUUU
This is a long non-coding RNA of Cyprinus carpio carpio, 1068 nucleotides long. The record is from Ensembl. Lineage: Eukaryota; Metazoa; Chordata; Actinopteri; Cypriniformes; Cyprinidae.